RNAcentral lists this long non-coding RNA (606 nucleotides) under Rhinopithecus bieti (black snub-nosed monkey). RNAcentral's name for it is "lncRNA (ENSRBIG00000046641.1)". Lineage: Eukaryota; Metazoa; Chordata; Mammalia; Primates; Cercopithecidae. The record is from RNAcentral.
AUGUGUGCACAUGGGGUGACCCAGGGGCCUCCUCGAAUGCAGCGUCUACGCCUGGGGAAUGGAAGCACUCUUACCAGUUCCGCCCUGGGAGGAUUCAUCGGUAACCUACUGAGCACAGAGGCCGGUGCGCACCCAUGGAAAAGCCCGCGCUCGCGAGUCCUCCUGGUGCCGGGGCCCCAGGGCAUUCAAGACCCGCCGACCGUGAGGCGGGUCAAGGGGUACACAGGGUGCGAGUUCGUUAGUCAAAAGCGGGGUGCGGGCGCGAGCCACAGGCACGGGAACCUCGCGCCGACCGGGGCCCUAGGCCCGACAACGGCAGGUAGGGGGAGUGGAGGCACACAUGGCUGGGACGUGCCCCAGGCACCAUCCGGUUGGCUUCCGGCGCGGGACGUCCGCAGUCCCGCAGCUUCCAGGACUCUAGACAAUCUGCGACUGAUCAGCUUCAGCAGACUGCAAAAUUCAAAAUGGGGAAGAAGGUAUAACAGCACUGGCAGAAGAGCUGGCUUUGAGAGGAUGAGGCGUGAUGGUUAUGGUGGAGGGUAUGGAGGCUAGGACGAUUACAAUGGCUAUAAUGAUGGCUAUGGAUUUGGGUUAGAUUUGGAAGAG